AUUGAACGCUGGCGGCAUGCUUUACACAUGCAAGUCGAACGGCAGCGCGGGGGCAACCCUGGCGGCGAGUGGCGAACGGGUGAGUAAUGUAUCGGAACGUAUCCUGUAAUGGGGGAUAACCAGUCGAAAGAUUGGGUAAUACCGCAUACGCACGAGAGUGGAAAGUAGGGGAUCGCAAGACCUUACGUUAUAGGAGCGGCCGAUAUCUGAUUAGCUAGUUGGUGGGGUAACGGCUCACCAAGGCUACGAUUGGUAGCCGAACUGAGAGGUUGAUCGGCCACAUUGGGACUGAGACACGGCCCAGACUCCUACGGGAGGCAGCAGUGGGGAAUAUUGGGCAAUGGGCGAAAGCCUGACCCAGCGACGCCGCGUGAAGGAUGAAGGUCUUCGGAUUGUAAACUUCUUUGAUCAGGGAAGAAAGAAAUGACGGUACCUGAAGAACAAGCCACGGCUAACUACGUG
RNAcentral lists this ribosomal RNA (462 nucleotides) under uncultured bacterium. RNAcentral's name for it is "bacterial SSU rRNA". It matches the Rfam family "Bacterial small subunit ribosomal RNA", at positions 30 to 507 of the family's 1533-position model. The record is from RNAcentral.